AGCAAUAUGUCAGCGGCAGACGGGUGAGUAACGCGUGGGAAUCUACCCAACCCUAUGGAAUAACGCAUGGAAACGUGUGCUAAUACCAUAUACGCCCCCCUUUAAAAUACCAAGAAUCAUAAAAUGCCUUGGCAUUUUAUGGGGGGGAAAGAUUUAUCCGGGGAUGGAUGAGCCCGCGUUGGAUUAGCUAGUUGGUGGGGUAAAGGCCUACCAAGGCGACGAUCCAUAGCUGGUCUGAGAGGAUGAUCAGCCACAUUGGGACUGAGACACGGCCCAAACUCCUACGGGAGGCAGCAGUGGGGAAUAUUGGACAAUGGGCGCAAGCCUGAUCCAGCCAUGCCGCGUGAGUGAUGAAGGCCCUAGGGUUGUAAAGCUCUUUCACCGGAGAAGAUAAUGACGGUAUCCGGAGAAGAAGCCCCGGCUAACUUCGUGCCAGCCGCCGCGGUAA
RNAcentral lists this ribosomal RNA (448 nucleotides) under uncultured bacterium. RNAcentral's name for it is "partial 16S ribosomal RNA". It matches the Rfam family "Bacterial small subunit ribosomal RNA", at positions 83 to 523 of the family's 1533-position model. The record is from RNAcentral.